UUCAUGUGGUCACAGCCUUUCUCUCAGCACCCAGUCAUCUCCACAAUGACCGUAAAUCUCCUUCUGACCUUCUCUAAAUUCUCUCUUUCAUUUGUCUUAUAGAGCUUGAACCAUGGGGAACCUCCCUACGAUACAUAAUGAAACCCCCUACACAUUUCACUACUGUAUUAUUGGGAGAGAGGGUGUGCAUACAGUGCAUGGCAACAGCACAGGAGAGUCCCUGCAAGCACCAUUUUGGAUUGCAUUACCAUUUCGGGGUGCAUUACUACCAUUUUGGGGGCUCUCCUUUAGAUAUGGAGAUCACUCAGAAAGUGACCUCACUGGUGCAGGUGAUGGCGCUUCGUACACCAUAAGAGAGAGUAAAGAUCACAAGGAAUUUGAACUGGUCUCCAAGAUGUGGCAUAGAGUUGUUGUUGUUGACCGUUGUCCCAACUUUGGAGGAGGGGGUUCUUCUCAAAGAUAACUAAAUGGAUUCGUGGUGAACAGAGCCCGUGCAGUGGUCAUUUUGAAAUCCUGAGACCAGAUGGAACCGUGAUCCCAGUAAAUUCAGAAGAUCAGAACUGCCUCUUCCACGCUGUUGCUCAGGCCACCUGUAAAAAUCCAGGUGAUGUAGGAAAAGAGGCACGGGUGCUUCGGGAGCAGGUCAGAAACAAUCUUCAGCAAAACCUACCCAAAUACGUAGGAGCUCUGAAACUGCAGAAAGGCUAUGAAACCUGUAACUCUCCUGGAAGAUAUUACAUAUGUGGAGGAGAUCGAAAGGCACGAAGAAAAGCCGUAGACGAUUUCAACGCCAUCUUGGGCGACACGAGCAAGAAAGGUUUGAGUCCAGAGGAAUUACGAGAUAUCCAAGAAUGACGUCUGGGUUUGGUUGGAACGCACACUGAUGUGUACAAAAUCCGUGUGGAAACCUCAAACCAAAGAGAAUGUGGUGAAAACAGGCUGGCGGUGGAAGCAGACCAUGUGCCACCUAAAUGUGUCUUUCAGAAUGCCCUUAAAACGUUGCAGGACCCUGAGAACGUAAAGUUAAGAGAGAACCUGAAAAACAAAAGUCCCCACCUUCAUGCACUGUUGGAUAAAAAUGGAGACCGCGGUCUGUGCAGAGAGGUUCUGAAAUCGCACCAUGAGGCAGGCCUGACCUGGUGCAACAGAAAAGAGUCUCGUAUAAUCAGCGAGAAGCUUGAGGAGAUUCUUAUUUCUGGAGACGGGGAAAAACUGGUGAAGAUGUCACUGCUGGCAGCCAAUCCGGUUACAUCCAAUUCUCUUAGAGAGGAUGCAGGAAUCCUCAUGCUGAACAGCUCAAAUAUGUCCAGAGACGCAACGAAGCGCUACCACGAUGUUGGAGACAAGCUGCUGGUGGAAGGUUACUACAAGAAAGGAGUCCUGAACGAGGAGGAGAGGCACAGCAUCAUGGACUGGCUGAAGGGUGGAAACCUGUACUCAAAGAACACGUCAGAGUACAAAGAGAUGUGCAGUGAGCUGAGAGCCAAGAUACAGAAACACAACAACAACAGUGGAAAAUAACAACAGUGUGUGUGUGUUUAACUGAACGUAUCAGACAUCCAAACUGAGAAAGCUCAGUUUUAUUUGAUGUUUUUAUCAUUUAUAUAUUUCGUUAUCCUCUCUGACCGUUUCAUCAUCAUCCUCUUUUCCUCUUUUCCCAGAAAACAAAGAAGGAAAAGAGUUUCUCUGAAAGAUUUUAAUCCGAGGAUAAAAAGCAGCUCAAAGACAGUGAUUUGUAAUCACAGGAGCUGUUGUGUGUUCUCUGUGUAACACCUGUCACAGGUACCUGUGAGUGGGCCCUGGGCCUCUGCUUAUAGCACAACAUAUGAAUCAUGAUAUGACUUGUGUAAUUAAACCACAACACAAGAGGUUCAUUUAAACGCAGCAGGCUCACCUCAUUGAUUCCAGAUCAGAAAACAAAGUGUGUGUGUGUGUGUGUGUGUGUGUGUGUGUGUGUGUGUGUGUGUGUGUGUGUGUGUGAGAGGUUACACUGGUGUUUGGGGUCAGAGGUCACACUGGUGAUCACCUUGCUAAGUUAACCUGGUUUUUUGCUCCCACCAUAAAAAAAUGAAGGAAUAAAGUUGUGUGUAAAA
Long non-coding RNA from Oreochromis aureus, 2093 nucleotides. Lineage: Eukaryota; Metazoa; Chordata; Actinopteri; Cichliformes; Cichlidae. The record is from Ensembl.